UUGCACCAAAUGAAACUAGAUACAAGCGAGCGGCGGACGGGUGAGUAACACGUGGGUAACCUGCCCAAGAGACUGGGAUAACACCUGGAAACAGAUGCUAAUACCGGAUAACAACACUAGACGCAUGUCUAGAGUUUAAAAGAUGGUUCUGCUAUCACUCUUGGAUGGACCUGCGGUGCAUUAGCUAGUUGGUAAGGUAACGGCUUACCGAGGCAAUGAUGCAUAGCCGAGUUGAGAGACUGAUCGGCCACAUUGGGACUGAGACACGGCCCAAACUCCUACGGGAGGCAGCAGUAGGGAAUCUUCCACAAUGGACGCAAGUCUGAUGGAGCAACGCCGCGUGAGUGAAGAAGGGUUUCGGCUCGUAAAGCUCUGUUGGUAGUGAAGAAAGAUAGAGGUAGUAACUGGCCUUUAUUUGACGGUAAUUACUUAGAAAGUCACGGCUAACUACGUGCCAGCAGCCGCGGUAAUACGUAGGUGGCAAGCGUUGUCCGGAUUUAUUGGGCGUAAAGCGAGUGCAGGCGGUUCAAUAAGUCUGAUGUGAAAGCCUUCGGCUCAACCGGAGAAUUGCAUCAGAAACUNUGAACUUGAGNCAGAAGAGGAGA
RNAcentral lists this ribosomal RNA (605 nucleotides) under Lactobacillus gasseri. Its description in RNAcentral is "bacterial SSU rRNA". It matches the Rfam family "Bacterial small subunit ribosomal RNA", at positions 67 to 660 of the family's 1533-position model. Lineage: Bacteria; Bacillati; Bacillota; Bacilli; Lactobacillales; Lactobacillaceae. The record is from RNAcentral.